Non-coding RNA from Mycena epipterygia, 95 nucleotides. NCBI's taxonomy places the organism in Eukaryota, Fungi, Basidiomycota, Agaricomycetes, Agaricales, Mycenaceae. The record is from the annotation of a GenBank genome assembly.
GCGCAGUUGGUGUAGUGGUAACACACAACUCGAAUAUCUUCCAGUGGUCUUCAGCAUUUGAGGUUGGGUGCCGGGUUCGAAUCCCGGACGGCGCA